This 234-nucleotide ribosomal RNA is filed under the name uncultured bacterium. Its description in RNAcentral is "partial 16S ribosomal RNA". It matches the Rfam family "Bacterial small subunit ribosomal RNA", at positions 15 to 237 of the family's 1533-position model. The record is from RNAcentral.
GAUCAUGGCUCAGGAUGAACGCUAGCGACAGGCCUAACACAUGCAAGUCGAGGGGCAGCGGAGAGGUAGCAAUACCUUUGCCGGCGACCGGCGCACGGGUGAGUAACACGUAUGCAAUCAACCUGUAACAGGGGGAUAACCCGGAGAAAUCCGGACUAAUACCCCAUAAUAUGGGCGCUCCGCAUGGAGAGUCCCAUUAAAGAGAGCAAUUUUGGUUACAGACGAGCAUGCGCU